AUCUGGCUUUGCAAAUGAGUGUAGUCAUUUGGGACGGUUCAAAGGACAGGGUGGCAAGAAAGGCUGCCCCCAUGCCCCAGGUACUCGACUGAAAAGAAGAAUGUAUCCAAUAGGCCCGGAAUGUUUCCCCAGAUUCAGUUCAUUUGGACAGAAGAAUCAGCCCUCAAGACAGCUGUAAAAGUUACAAAGGAAGGAAAAUUGUUGGAGAGAAAAAGAUCCCUGCAGUUCUUAUUCACAAUGAUGGGGAAAGAUAAUCAGAAGAUAACAUUCCCCAGGGAAAGGGGACCUUUUGUGCCUAAGGAAAUCCAGCUGGAUUGUUUGCAGAAGCAAAGACCAAGCCCCUUGGCCAUAGAUCUGUGGGUGUCCCUCCUCCUCCUGCUCAGGAGCUAUCAGAUGGCUAAAGAACGUGUGCCAGGUUAUUGCCAACCCUACAGAGAUCGCCCAAUCCGCUAAUCCCAAUAAGCGAUCUUUGUGCCUGGAAGAAAUGAGCCAGCUGGGGCUGGGACCCCUUGGCCCAUGUCUGGAGAGACGCCCCCAUGAUGGAGGAGAAGCUAAGGCUGACCUCCCAGACCUGAGAGCCAGGGAAGGCCCUUCAGGGCAAUGUUGGCUUCUGUAGGCUACCAAGAAUGAGUAAAGCCUUAGUCAUCCUAACACACUGCACUGCUAUUGUUUUUGUUGGAAAGUUCGAUGUGGUUGUGUUUUAAGUUAAUGGAUCAAAUCAGCGAUAUUAAACGCCAACUUUGUAGUUUAUGAUGUUGGGGGCAAGAUAAUUUAACACCCCAUUGACCUGUUGGCUCUCGGUAAAGAAUCCCCGGGCUUUUUUUUCAUGACUCAAACUUGUGUUUAUGCAACGGUUUAGACGAAGGUUCCAUUCUCGACUGGCCCUGCCCAGGGGAGUCAGCCAGCUCCCUUUCUUCACCCGUGCAUGCCGUGCAUGCUGGACUUCCUGCUGGAGGGCCUCCUCAUCCUCAUCCUCCUCUUCCUCUUCAGUGGCUCCAGGGGCUGAAGCCUCACCUUUCUGGUAUUUCUCGAUGAAGGAGGGAGUCUUCCACCCAUUGUUUGUCUUGGGCUUAGCCAAAGGGAUGGAGAAAUGCUGUGGGCACCCUCUUGGUGCCCUGGAGGUGCAGCGUUCUGAGGAGAGGCCUGCCUUCAGGGCCCAAGAGGGCUGUGCAAAUAGAACCUCUUCGAAGGCCCAGGCCACCCAUAUUUUCAGCUCUCCAUCAUCAGGAAAUCCAGGACAUUGUUCCAGGCAAGGCCUGACUCAUGCCGGUCCCGUGGUUCAGGCUCAGGAUUAGAAUGAAAUGAGACAAUCCCAAUGAGACCGUCAUGCGUUGAUCAGGAGGAGAUUGACUUAAUGGCGGGCAGUUCAGAGGAAUGUGAGAAGCUUGAGGAUCUCUCGUGUCCUCCCACACUGGCCUUUUACCCUGUGGUGACCAGGAGGCUCCUCCCUGUGCCAUACUUAAUGCCCUGGACCUCAAGGAUGGCUCCAUUGCCUUAUAAUGAAACACUGGCCUAACUUGGGUGGGGUAGAUGUCGCCCCUACCAUAGACCACCUCCUGCAAGGAGGUCUGGCUUGUGGACAGCCAGAGAGUUGCCUUGGUAGCCACGGAAUUCACUUAGGGACAGAAGAAGACUUCCUGAGGGGCAGCAGAACCUCUCUGGAGAAUUAGUGGGGGAACAUAGGCAUGAUGAGAAAGUCUGGAUGAAUUGACAUCUGUAUCCAUGUUGAUGGAAACAGAAAUCAUGUCCUCAGUGCUGGGAGGAACCCAGGAAGUGUCCCUGUUCCCAUCACAGAGUUCUGGGGAGCCCUAUCUUCUCCCAUCCAGAUCCACCCUCAUCUACUUCCUCUGCCCCAGACUUGCUUUCCACUGACUGUCAGCUAAGCCUCAUUAAGGUUUUUUAAUUUAACCUCUUACAUCUUGGAUCAAUACUGAGUACUGGUUCCAAGGCAGAAGAGAGCUCAGGGUUAGGCAAUGGGGGUUAAGUGACUUGCCCAGGGUCACACAGUGAGGCAGUGUCUGAGGUCAGAUUUGAACUCAGGACCUCCCAUUUCUAGGCCUGGCCAUUGAGCCACUUAGCUAGAGCAGCUUUGCUAAAGUAUUAACCAAUAAUUAAGAGAGAGGACUGGCCAUACAUUUGGACAUACUUUUGGACCCCAAAGGCACUGGAGUGAACACUGAAUUUAGAGUCAGAAGAAGUGAGUUCCUAUGCCCAAAGAGCUUUAAAAGCCUGCCUGCCCUUUGAUCCAGCCAUAGCACUGCUGGGUUUGUACCCCAAAGAGAUAAUAAGGAAAAAGACAUGUACAAGGAUAUUUAUAGCUGUGCUCUUUGUGGUGGCAAAAAAUUGGAAAAUGAGGGGAUGUCCUUCAAUUGGGGAAUGGCUGAAGAAAUUGUGGUGUCUCUUGGUGAUGGAAUACUAUUGUGCUCACAGGAGUAAUGAACUAGAGGAAUUCCAUGUGAACUAGAAAGACUUGCAUGAACUGAUGCAGAGUGAAAGGAGCAGAACUAGGAAAACAUUGUACACAGAGACUGAUACAUUGUGGUACAAUCAAAUGUAACUGACUUCUUUACUAGUCACAAUGCAAUGACCCAGGACAAUCCUGAGGGACUUGUAAGAAAGAAUGUAUCCACAUCCAGAGGAAGAACUAUGGGAGCAGAAACACAGAAGAAAAACAACUGCUUGAUCACAUGGUUCAAUGGGAAUAUGAUUGGGGAGUUAGACUCUAAGUGAUUGCUCUAUUGCAAAUAAUAAUAUGGAAAUAGGUCUUGAUCAAUGACACAUGUAAAACCCAGUGGAAUUGCUGUUUGGCUAUGGGAGGGGAAGGGAGGAUUGGAGGGAAAGAAGAUGAAUCAUGUAACCAUGGGAAAAUAUUCUAAAUUAAUUAAAUAAAUAAUUUGUAAAAAGAAAGAAAGAAAAAAAG
Monodelphis domestica (gray short-tailed opossum) is the source of this 2920-nucleotide long non-coding RNA. The record is from Ensembl. Lineage: Eukaryota; Metazoa; Chordata; Mammalia; Didelphimorphia; Didelphidae.